AGAACGAAGUGGUGGAAGCUCAAGGGGGAGGUAGCUCAGGUGUUCAAGGAGAGGGUAUUUAAGGAGGGCCCUUGGGAGGAAGGAGGGGAUGCGGACAAUGUGUGGAUGAAGAUGGCGACUUGCAUUCGUAAGGUGGCCUCGGAGGAGUUUGGAGUGUCCAGGGGAAGGAGAAGCGAAGAUAAGGAUACCUGGUGGUGGAAUGGUGAUGUCCAGAAGGCGCUUAAAGAGAAGAAAGAUUGCUUCAGACGCCUAUACCUGGAUAGGAGUGCAGACAACAUAGAGAAGUACAAGAUGGCGAAGAAGGCCGCAAAGCGAGCUGUUGGUGAAGCAAGGGGUCGGGCAUAUGAGGACCUCUACCAACGGUUAGGCACGAAGGAAGGUGAAAGGGACAUCUAUAAGAUGGCUAAGAUCCGGGAGAGGAAGACGAGGGAUAUUGGCCAAGUCAAAUGCAUCAAGGAUGGAGCAGGCCAACUCUUGGUGAAGGACGAAGAGAUUAAGCAUAGAUGGCGGGAGUACUUCGACAAGCUGUUCAAUGGGGAGAAUGAGAGUUCUACCAUUGAACUGAAUGACUCCUUUGAUGAGACCAGCAUGCGUUUUGUGCGGCGCAUCCAGGAGUCUGAGGUGAAGGAGGCUUUAAAAAGGAUGAAAGGAGGCAAGGCGAUGGGCCCUGAUUGUAUCCCCAUUGAGGUGUGGAAAGGUCUCGGGGACAUAGCGAUAGUAUGGCUAACCAAACUUUUCAACCUCAUUUUUUGGGCAAACAAGAUGCCAGAAGAAUGGAGACGGAGUAUAUUAGUACCAAUCUUCAAGAACAAGGGGGAUGUUCAGAGUUGUACUAAUUAC
RNAcentral lists this ribosomal RNA (840 nucleotides) under Triticum aestivum (bread wheat). Its description in RNAcentral is "partial small subunit ribosomal RNA". The record is from RNAcentral. Lineage: Eukaryota; Viridiplantae; Streptophyta; Magnoliopsida; Poales; Poaceae.